Molecule: ribosomal RNA, 301 nt
Filed under: uncultured bacterium
Lineage: Bacteria
Description: partial 16S ribosomal RNA
Rfam family: Bacterial small subunit ribosomal RNA
Source: RNAcentral
CAGUAGCCGCGGGAAUACGUAGGGUGCAAGCGUUAAUCGGAAUUACUGGGGGUAAAGCGUGCGCAGGCGGUACGCUAAGACAGAUGUGAAAUCCCCGGGCUUAACCUGGGAACUGCAUUUGUGACUGGCGGGCUAGAGUAUGGCAGAGGGGGGUAGAAUUCCACGUGUAGCAGUGAAAUGCGUAGAGAUGUGGAGGAAUACCGAUGGCGAAGGCAGCCCCCUGGGCCAAUACUGACGCUCAUGCACGAAAGCGUGGGGAGCGAACAGGAUUAGAUACCCCAGUAGUCCCUGUCUCUUAUAC